AGCAAAGUCGCCCAGAGGAAGAGCGCUGGGCUCAUAACCCAGAGGUCGGUGGAUCGAAACCACCCUUUGCUA
Molecule: transfer RNA, 72 nt
Organism: Lobosporangium transversale
Lineage: Eukaryota; Fungi; Mortierellomycota; Mortierellomycetes; Mortierellales; Mortierellaceae
Rfam family: tRNA
About the family: Transfer RNA (tRNA) molecules are approximately 80 nucleotides in length. Their secondary structure includes four short double-helical elements and three loops (D, anti-codon, and T loops). Further hydrogen bonds mediate the characteristic L-shaped molecular structure. tRNAs have two regions of fundamental functional importance: the anti-codon, which is responsible for specific mRNA codon recognition, and the 3' end, to which the tRNAs corresponding amino acid is attached (by aminoacyl-tRNA synthetases). tRNAs cope with the degeneracy of the genetic code in two manners: having more than one tRNA (with a specific anti-codon) for a particular amino acid; and 'wobble' base-pairing, i.e. permitting non-standard base-pairing at the 3rd anti-codon position.
Source: Rfam